CCCGGGGACAAGAGGUGCACUUUGGAGAGGCUGAUGUAUUCGUGACAGGGAUCCUGAGGAGCCAGCACUGCUGGAAGACUCUGAGCCUGUUUUAGACAGUUUGCCGGUACUUCUGUUACUUGAUGAGCUAUCUCCUCUUGUCAGGACGGUUAUGCCACCAAAACUUGCUGUCUUUGUUAUGGCUGGCUUCAAAUUUCGAUUUGAACUGUCCGAGUCUGUGCUGCUCCAUGGCCUCUGGUGGUCUGUCCAUUUCAAUUCAUUCUCCGUGCUGCUCUGCCGACUGCCAGAUGCCUUCCCUGUGCUAUCUCUGUUACCCCUAAACAGCUGUCUUUUCUUAUGGGUAUCAUUGCAUAUACUACUGUCUUCCAAGAGCCUAAUUCUGGUAUUGCUGGUCUUGUUGAUAAUUACAGAUUUCCCAGUUUGAUCCACAUUGUGAUCCAUCCCAAAGUAAGCUGCCACUCUGUGUACCAGCAUCCUCUGAUAUGAUGACAUCUGAGGAAACUUUUUAUAGUGAUUAUUGUUGUCACUAAUAAAAUCAAUAAUUUCCUGUUCCAUUUUCAAGAGUAUCAUCCUGUCCCUGGGGUUAUUCUUUAACGUGUUAAUGAGAAACUCAUGCAGAUC
RNAcentral lists this long non-coding RNA (621 nucleotides) under Gallus gallus (chicken). Lineage: Eukaryota; Metazoa; Chordata; Aves; Galliformes; Phasianidae. The record is from RNAcentral.